AUCACUUCAUUCGCUGGUCCUAUCUCUAGAACAUGCUGAACUCACCCCUGCUUCAGGGCCUUUGAACUUGCUCUUUUUUGUGCCUGGAAUGAUCUUCUCUCAAGUUUGCACAUGACUCUCUGCUUCUCGUUAUUUGGUUCUCUUACUAAAAUAUCCUCAGAGGGGCCUUUCCUGACUACCCUAACAAAGCCUUUUCCAGGGUGCACUACUACACCAUCCUUAUCUUAAAGGAAAGAGAAAACGCAAGGUAAUCCACAAAUCACUGAGAUAAUAAGGUGAUUGAACAGAGUUGCUGGAUAGAAGAUUCAAGAAUUCCACAGCAGAAGAAGCUAAUAUCACUGAUUUGGAGGAAGAAUGAUAGAGAAAACACUUAUGUUGUGGACUCACUAAUUUUGACAGCCUUUUAAAAGCAAGCAGAAGGCAUUAUUGCUGAGACAGCUUCAAGGAGCUCUUUAUCAUUUAAAGAAAGCAUGCAAGAACUAAAAGCGGUUGGGCUAAGACUUGGGAGAACCAAGGAAUUAUGAGAAUAAAAAAGAAAAACAGCUAAAAAGUCUCUCCUAUUUCAUCUGAGAAGCUCAGAAUGAAACACCUUCUCUUAGAUAAUGGGAGAACGCAGUUUGAUGCAGACAGAAAAUGGUACUAAGUGCUCAUUACUUUUAACUGCGCAAUUUAAAUGCUCAAGUGCAUCAAUGGAAGGAAGAUUUAAAUAGCAAGCUUCAUUGCUAUUUGCUCCUAAAAGAAAACGAUCCCUACAGAUGACCACAUUUCGUUAAAGUCAACAUGGGGAUGAAUAGCAAUUUUGCAGCUUGAGAAGAGGGGCAUCUGGGAAAACUGAAAUGUGAACAAAACAACAGUUGGGCUUUCUUUUAUUGUUUAUUGGUGCUUUGGGGAUUCCCUGCAGCUUUGUCUUUCAUGGUUGCUUAAUAAAUAAAAAUACAGUGCAUAGCCGACACGUUUGGACGGUGAUUCACAGAAUGGCACUAACUCACCUAAGGGACCCUGCCUGGCUUAGUCCAGGGAGCACAGGUUCCAAACAUCUGGAACCACGCUGGCAAUUUUCCCAAAGGCCAAGGGCUUUAGUUAUUUCGCUAAUCAUUUACA
This is a long non-coding RNA of Hippopotamus amphibius kiboko, 1101 nucleotides long. RefSeq lists it as uncharacterized. The transcript is spliced from 3 exons. The record is from RefSeq and is a predicted model, not a curated record. Lineage: Eukaryota; Metazoa; Chordata; Mammalia; Artiodactyla; Hippopotamidae.